GUGCUCGCUUCGGCAGCACACAUAUACUAAAACUGGAAACGAUACGGAGAAGAUUAGCAUGGGCCCUGUGCAAGGAUGACACGCAAAUUCGUGAAGCAUUCCAUCUUUUU
Small nuclear RNA from Mesocricetus auratus (golden hamster), 110 nucleotides. The record is from Ensembl. NCBI's taxonomy places the organism in Eukaryota, Metazoa, Chordata, Mammalia, Rodentia, Cricetidae.